AUAUAUAUGUCUUUGUGUUCGAGUCUCUUAUCAGUUUUUUGCAGGAAAUCACGGUCAGGCCUAACAUCAACUGAAGUCUCCAGGAAGAAGGUGGGGCCCCACAACAACAAUUCUACAUGGACAAUAAUAAUGUCAUUAAGCUGACAAACAUCAUCUACAGAUCAGCUUUGAACUACAAAGUGCUCAGAGCAAUUUUGAGAUGACUAGCUGAGAUGAUCCAGUCUCAAAGACUACUUGAAUAAGGAUUUGAGAUAAACCCUGAACUUUGGCAUUAUACACAGACUUGAUAAUGAAGGAUAUAGUUGCCUUUCCUAGAAUUUGACAAUUAACCUAAAAUUUUUCUUUCAGGAUAAAGAUAACUUUGCCCAUACCCAGCAGGAAGCAAUUUUAAGAAUACAACGCCCACAUUCCCAAAGAGGUGGUAUGGGGCGGGUGGUUUUUUGGUCUUUUAAUGGGUUUUGGGUCUGGGAUAAUUUUCAUUGUUUAGGGGGGUUGGUUACAAGUUGUUGUCAAGGGUUAGGAGAAAGGCUAAGCAAAGGAGAUUAGAUUUAAGGUUCUUGUUUAAAAAAAAAAAGAAAAGAAAAAGACAAUUACUAGUUUUAAAUACUUUACAUUGGAUUGUAUUGUUUUAUAUUGUAUACAAAUUAUAUAUAUUGAUAUUGAUAUUGUUAGAAAAUGCUAUGUGUAUAUUUCCAAUUGUACUUAUACCAUUCAUUUAACAAUGUAAUGCAAAUUUCUGAUCCUUGAAUGUUAUUAUUACCAACUAUUAGGAUAUAAAGAAAUGAAAGUUAGUAGUUAGACAUUACAAUAGAACGUGUAGUCAUAUUAGAUUGUUUUAAAAAUUGAGCAGAUAUAUUUUAGAUAGAUAGGUCAUCUUCAAACCCUUCAGAGAUCUACAGAAUAUGGCAUUUUAAAUAUUUUAAUAACUUAGAAAAUUUUUCUUUUUUGUUAUGACUAUGAGACAUGUCGGCUCCUGGCAGUACCAAUCUACUUCAGAGAAAAUAUGGGCAUUGAAAAAACUGUAUAUGGAGUUAACUUUCAUUGUGGCAAAAGUUAGUCACUGGACAACAAAGUAUCCUCGAAUCAACAGGACAAAAUGGACAGACAGGACAUGAAGCAAAGGACUACCGAUUCUUGCCAAAACAAGUGUGGUUAUGGCUUUAUCAAAAGGCAUUUUCUGAGGCCAGGACAAUAUGGCACCUUCCCUGAAGUGGCCUUCGCAAUCUGGAAAAGGUACAGUGCCCUUUUCUUCGAAGGCAGCUGAAUAGGCAGUGGGCUGAUGGCUUCUGAUGUGCAAUGGAACGGCAGCUGAAACAGUUAUUCUUGAAGAGUAACUAAGCUCACGCCUCUCAAUAGUAGACUGGCAUUUAAUAGAGGGAUGUGGAGAAGAAUGGGAUGCUAAGAUGAAGCCAUAUAUAUACAGCCAAGAAGGAUGGAUAGCUGAAUUCAAAAACCAUCAACAAUUUCCAGAAUUUAAAAUCCUGAAUCAUGACAUGACACUAGUGGAAUUCAGGUGUUUCUGGUACAUGGACUGCUCUCACCCAAUGUGAGGUCCAACUAGUGACCUUGUGUAUAUCCUGCUUCACAAAUAAGUCUGUCAGAUAUGCCAAUCCUAUAGGCUGAAGAUGAUGCCCGAACACUGCGGAGAAACCUCAGGUGACUGUGCAGGCAGCUGUCUGUUUCUGUCAACUCACAAAUUUUUUGGAAGUUGCUUGCAUGCACUUCCUGUUUUUAUUUUUGUUAGCUAAUAUUAUUUCCUUCUUGGGUCUCUGAGGGAGUUGAAGAUUAGUUAUUUAUAGUUGAAGUUUGGUUAGUUAUAGUUGAAGACUAGUUAGGAUAUAGAAAGUGAAUUAGGUACAUUUUGGACUUACCAAAAUUGGAUAGAUAAUGGAAUUAUUUUCUCUGAAUUUGUCAAAUACAAAUGGACUAGACAUUGUUUAGGUAUUUAUUACUUGUAUAUAUUUGUCUAUAGUUAUUGUACUUUUGUAUAUAGUUUUUUAUGUUAGUUAUAACCUUUUUCCUUUUUUCUUUUUAUUAAAAUAGAAAAGGGGAAAUAUGGUGGUAUUUUAUUUGUACUGAAAUGUGAUUUUAAUUGUAUAUUAAUAAAUAUAGUUGCCUGGGGGGUCAGAGCUAUUAGAGCCAUAGCAAAAGCUGGCCGUUGGUGGAGCACACCUUUAAUCCCAACACUCAGGAGUCAGAGGCAGGCAGAUCUCUGUGUGGUCAAGGAUACAGCCAGCAUUGGAGACACACGCCUUUAAUCUCAAUACCAUAGAAGACUUGGAGGGCUGUACAACAGACGAGGCAGUCAUGUGGUUGGUUUUACAACCAAUGAGAAGGCAGAACAGAAACUCUAUAUAAAGACAAACAGACAGGAACUAGCUAUCUUUCGGAGAGGUCUCUUGGCUUAAGAGGCUAGCUGUAGCAGGCGGGUAAGGCUCUUAGCUCUGAUCUCUUGGCUUUCUUCUUUGCAUUGGUUCUGUGUUUCUUAUUUAAUAAGAUGGUUGGUUACAUCUACAGAAGACAUAUUAAUUCUAGAACAUCUGUCCCUCCAGCCAUUAAGAAAAUGUUUCUGAGACAAGUUCUCUUAUGUUGACUCUGGUGGCCUUGAUCCCAGUCUGUUGCUUCCCAGGGCAAUGCCUUUACUGUCCUCUUGAUUAAUCCAACUAAAUUCUUAAAGGGCUGUACCCUCACUGAGUUUUAAAAUUACCUUUUUGAGUCCUGUAGUUAACUAUCCAUUGCAGUCACUGGAAAAGGGUUUACAUGUGGAGCAUGUCUUCUGCAUUCAGAGCAGUAUAGGAAGAAUAAUUUCUUGUGUGUAGUACAGGGAAAAAAGAAUAAGCAGUCAGCUGCUGGAGUUACCAUUAUAAAAUUGGACCUGAUUGUGGCAGGGUUAGUCAUUUAUAAUUUCCCACCAUGUACUAUUUCUUCUGUAGCUCAGCCUUUCCUCACACUAUAUAAUUAAGAAUUGUUUUGGCCAUUUAACCCCGACUCUGGGCUGCGAAGACAGUCCUGCCACUCCUUCUAGUCUGGGCCAUGAUUGGUUAGUGAGAAGGAAAAAGAGACCAGUGAAUGAAAAUCCUCCAAUCUCUCUGGCUUUUAUUGGGAACUUACAAAUGAAGACAGAUUUGUGCAAUAAUUGAGUUCACUGACCAACUUUAAUCAGGUAUAGUCACAACACAGAAAUGGAUGGGCAAGAAGAGGGUGAAAGCUUUCCUGCUGUGACAGUAGUUGACAUUGGUGAUGAGUACUGAAGUAAUCAAUGUUAGAUGGUCAAUAAGUUUCCUGACUGCCCACAGACCAGGCAAUUAUGAAUCUGGAUAAAGAACUGAACUUUCAUGAAACCAAAUUACAGUAGUUUCUCUAGUUCAACCAAAAUAGAAGAUCUAGAUAAAAUGGUGUGACCCUGUCUAACAGGACUGUUGUUUUCCAGGUUUAAGAUGUUCAGCCUGAGAGAAAAGGUGUGAGUAAACCUUGGUGUGUUCUAUUACAAAUCUCUAGUCUCUGGAGCACAUGGCCAUAACGCCUGUUUCAAUUUCUUAUUUUUGGAGGGAUUUUAAUUAUAUCAUUUCCACUGUCCAUUUCCCACCUCCAAGCUCAAGUGUGUCAGUCAUUCCAGUCAGGGCCUUGACUGCUCAGCAAGAAGGCAAAAGAGACAGAAGAAUGAGCAUCCUAGUGCAUCCCAGGUUUUUAUUGUGGAGUGGCAAUGCGGAGUUGCUUGUGUAAGAAUGGAAAUUCAUUGUUCACACAUUACAAGCUGUUAUGGUCAUGGUACAGAAAGGAAGAUGUGGGAAGGACCCUUAAAAUAUUCCAGUUUUGUCUGCAGUUUGGGUUUCCAAUGUGCUAUCUGUUAACCAAUUAUAGGUGACUGAUAAAUGUCCUGAGUGGCCAUUUUUUGGGCUCCACAGACUAGGUUCCUUGGCCAGAAGAUUGACCUAUCCCUAUUGAAAGGUUAGGUCUUUACCUGGCACAGAGAUUUUAUUCUCUAGACCAAGGACCGUUUUCUCAUAAUUGGCCUUCAUUACCACUUUUAACUUACCUGCUUCCUAAGUCCCCCAGAAUCACAUAGCAUCAGAGACCCGAGCUCCCAAAAUCACUUUUGGUAUCUUUGGCCUCUGUCAAGGAUGAAACUGGUAAGAGUCCCAUGACAUUCCUGGCUUUUAGUCAAGAAAGCAACUAGUUUCUUUUCUUUGGGGGUUUUUAUCCUAAACUGCCUAGUUGAUUUCUACCUCCAGUUCUUAUUUAACCUCCUCUGAAGAGGUAAUCCUAACUGCUGUGAUGGGAUUGGAGCAAUGACUGAUCUGACUUCUUCCAGCUGAAUUUGGGAUACCAGGUGGCAGUAUUGGGAUACCUUUCCAGAGGUCCUCAUGUAAAGAUGAAAUGCUUGGAAAUAGACAGGAAAGGAAUUCUUUUCCUGGUGUCUGGUAAGGACUAAAAUGUACAAAGUCAACAAGACAUUAUUGAUGGGAUUAUAGUAUCCCCCAACUAAUAGAUGCUUCCCUUUGACCUCUACAGUUGGUCUCCAGAGUGAUGAACCCAAAAUUAUCUUUCACACCUCUUCAUGGCUGUUUCAUCACCCCAAAGUCAGCAUGAUGCCCUUCCCAUGUGGCUUCUGGAUAGGGAGAGAAGAGUUAUUUAGCAUCAUUUAAUUUGGGGGUUAAAAAAAAAAAACUAUGAACUUGUUUUCCUUGGAUGUGGGCAGGUGUUCACUGAUCUAAGAUCUGAUUUCUCAAAUCUGGGCAACAUCUUUUUGUGAAGAAGAAAAUAUCAGUGAGUUUGGUUGUCUAAAUAACAUUUCAUGUACACUUAUAUCUAAUAUCUCUGGAGUGUGAUCCCUUGGGUUGUGACCAAUUCUUAGUCUUUGCUUAAACUUUCCUGCUGAGUGUUGAAGACUAUGCAGGUAGCUAAAAUUAAUCUUUCUUUCUUUGCUGUCAAGGCCAGUUGAACAACUAGUCUUCAGGGGUCACUUGGAUUUGAGAAGAACCUCAGACUCUUCUAGCCAUUCUUUUACUAGUUGUCCAUCAAUGUGAGGAUAAAUCAAAGUCUUUGCUCUUUGUGCUGUGGCUUCCUUUGAAGCCUUGAGUAAAUCUUUCCCACAUUUGGUUCUCCUUUUUGUAGACUGGAAAAUGUUUCAAAUUCAUUAAGUGGUGUCUCCAUGGUCUCCAUGAAUAAGACAAGCGAUCAAUGACCUUAGUCCCCAGAGAUCUCAUUGACCUUGUAGGGAAAGGGGAGAAAUAUUCCCCCUUUUAGUCUCUCUAAACAUAUCAGCAUAGCCUCCAAGAAUGAUUAUGAAACACUCAGGAGAUCAGUUUUACACCAUUUUGGUACUUUUAACUACUGUGUACUAUUUCAGUAGCCAAACAUAACUCAAUAAGCUUUUUUUGACACACAUUUCAGCCAGUCCUUGAAACAGUUGAUAUCUGACCUUGCCAACUUUAAUACAAUAUAUGAUUUCUAAAUUUCAACCUUUAUGUACUUUAAACAACUUACUCAGACCUUCAUAAGUUUGCAAAGCUUUUCCAUCUUUUUUACUCCAGAGCUAUGCAGUCAUUAUCAUCUUCAUAUAUCUAAGUCCUUUUCUAAGGUCAUUUCCAUGUUUACACCCUCCUAACAUGCUUUAUGUACCAGUUCCUUUUUCUAAUUCUGUGAGACAUAGGAACAUUAACAAAUAUAUUUAUGAUCUGUUGUAAGAAUUUUCUCGCUGGUAGGGGUGGACAAGGCAAUGUCUAUCUCAUCCCCAUAAGUCCCAGUGAAAAUGAAAAUACAGUUUUACUGAAGUCCACCCUGGGGAACCAAUUAGAUCAUUGAGCUUACUUACUGAACAUGGUUGAGGAGAUACAAGAGUUUGGAUACUGUGAUCGUUUUAAUAAAAAUGGCCUCCAUAGUCCCAUAUGGAGUGGCACUAAUAGGAGGUAUGGCAUUGUUGGAGUAGGUGUGGCCUUUUUGGAGGAAGAGUGACAGAGUCACUACUUGCUGCCUACCAAUCUGGAUGUAGAACUUUCAGUUCUUUUUCCAGCACUAUGUCUGCCUGCAUGCCACCAUGCUUCCUGCCAUGAUGAUAUGGGCUAAACCCUCUGAAAAGGUAAUCUAGCCCCAAUGAAAUGUUUUCCUUUAUAAGAGUUGCUGAAAUCAUGGUGUAUCUUCACAGCAACAGAUACUCUAAGUUACCCAAAAGCAGCCACACAGGAAUGUCUCCACCCAGUAUGUACUAUGACUCUCCCAUAGCUGCAUAUGUGGAACUCAUCUUCUCUCUGCCCAUAUACUCUAGCAUUACAUUACAUUUCUUAGUGUACAAAGGAGAUAAAUCUGAUAGCACUCAAGGUAAAUUCCUUUUUAAGAUGACUUUCUCAUAGGUGCAAAUGCAGAAACCACCUCCUCCCAAGUAUUUCCAGGCUAUGUACUCUAGCUCCUCCCCCAAACCACAUGAUCAAAUGUCAUUAGAGUUGAAUUGUAUGCAGUUGGUUGGGAAAGAGGCUGUACACUCAGAAGGAGGGGAUAUCUCCUUCUAUGAUGGAAUAUUAAUAGUCAGCAAACCUGGUGGUGGCCAUCCUCUGUAAGCAGGCACAGCUGAUCGUAGGAAGGUGCCAAUUGUUUGUCUUAAGAUAGUGCUGAGCAACAAGAACUAAAUAAAAGACAGCUGAAUUAGAAACUGUGUAUAAGAUAAUGAAAUAAAUUACUAUUUUCUAGGUACAAUCUGAUAAAGUAAACCUUAGAGAAAACACAAGACAGUCUUCAUAUAAUAUAUGGCAUCACUACUAUAACCAUGCUUUUGGUUUUAGUGGGUGUAUGUUGGCAAUACAAAGAAAUAGCAAAUACAUAAUGAGACAUCAAUGAUUUGAUGUGUACAGUCGCCAAUACAACAUAACUAAAAAUCCCUCUUAAAACUAUGAUGCCCCAGUUUACUAUAGAGAGAUCUUUACACAGAGGAUCUCUCUGUCUAGUCCAUAGAUCAGCAUCCCAUUACCUGUUUUGAUUACAGACAUGUGACCAAUAACAGUACAAUAACCAAUACAUAAAAGGUGAAUGAAAGUUUCUAUCCUAGCAUCCUAAUCUCUAACAGCCCUGGUUAACAUACUACUUAUCUUCGGGUUAUUUUAGAGGCAGGGCUCCUUUAGCUAAAUUCUACUUUGUGUGACUAUCUCUUACACAUUGGUAAAUCCUUUAUAUUACCAAUUAUACUCUUCUACAUCACUGCUUAGCAAUUGGUGCUACCCAGUAUAUGAGAUGUCAUUAUAACCUCCACAAAAUUAACUCCAAAUGAAUGUUACAUCUAAAUGUCAAAUUUAAAGUGCAGAACUUCUAGAAGACACUUGAAACUAGGCCUCUUUGAGUUUGCAACCUCCCUAGGCCAUGGAAGGUUUUUCCAAGACCCCGAUGUAUUGAGAAAGAAACAGAGCUCCUUCUCUAAAAUCUGGAAUAUGCUUGGGAGAACUGGUAAAGGUCUGGGGCCAGGGUAUUUGGGGAGGGGUGGCUUAAGAUCCUGAGAACCCACCUCCUUCUACAAAUGGGGCUGUGGUUUUUAGUCCCAAGGCCACUGUGGACUUUGUUUAUAAUGUCCUUGAGUGACCCUGUGUUCCUCUUGUGCAAAAUUGUCUAAUUAGCCUCGUUCUGAAUUUGUAUACUUCUUUUUAAAACUGAACCCAUUGGUUCACAUUAACGAGAGACUUGCAGUUGAAUUUGGCACAAAUCUUCAGCCAACUCAGGAUAGUCUGUCCUUACAUUGGAAGUCAGGGCUGGGAACUACUGUGCUUUGUCCUGUCAGCUCGCUGGUUCUGUCACUCAGUCUUCACUAUCCAAUCAGAGCCUCCAGUGGACCCGGCAGUCAAAUGGGAAGGUACUUCCGGGAGCAAGGCUUCUAGCUCACAGCUCCUCUCUUGUGGAAGUCGGAAAUUGUCGUGUGUGUUGUGCCUAGGCCUCCAUCGUGGGGAGAGCGUGGGUCAUCUCAGCAGCUGCAUCUUGGUGAGGGAGGGCCAGCUCUCCACAGAUAGGGAGGAGUGGCUGGCCUUUGUUAGUGAUAGGCCACUGUCCUCAGGCGGGGAGGAGUCGCUGGGAAUGAUUACAGGUCUGCAGCACCAAAGAGUUCUACAGUUACCAAUUUGAGUGACAUAGUAGACUGUCCAUUGCAGUAACAGAAAACGAAUUUAUGUGUGGAGCAUGGCUUCUCCCUUCAGACCAGAAGAAGAGGAACAGUGUACUCUGUACACUGCAGGGGAAAACAGACUAGACAAUAGCUUGAUCACAGACUGAAGUUGAAAGCAGUGAGCUGCAGGGGUCUCCAUUAGAAAGAAGGACUGAUGGGGCAGGUGAGACAUGUCUGCUCCUGGCAGCACCAAUUUACUUCAGAGAGGAGGAUGAGCAUUGAAGAUACUUCGUAUGGAGUUUAUCUUCUUCUUGGAAAAAUAGCCGUUUGGGUAAGAAACUGUUCUUGACUGGACUGCUUGAAAAAAUGUAUCAACUGGACAUGCAAGACCCAUAGGAAGGUGGCCACUGAACUUUGCUUGGCAAAAUGGUCCUUCCUUCAGGUUCCUGCUAUGCAGAGGAAACUGCCAGACAUUCUACAGGAUACAGAGCGAAGUGACUGAGAGAAUCUAGGCCUGUGGGCUGAAGACAGAAGCCCCAACUUUACAGAAGAACUUUGGAUGACUGUCUAGGCUGCCAGUUUUCUCUGUCUACUCUCGCAAGACUCCCAAAAGUUGCUUGUGUCCUUCUACCAUUUCUCAGGUAAUAUUAUAUCCUUCUGAGAUCUUUGAUGUGGUUGAAGACUAGAUAGCUAUAAUUUUCCUUAGUUAUGAUAAAAGAUAAGUUAGAUAUGAAACCUUAGAUUCACAAAUAUAGGAUAGAUUAGAUAUCUUCUUUAAUUUUGCCAAAUACAAAUAGACUAGAUAUUAUAAAUAGAGUAGAUAUUGUAACUAUAAUUCUUGCUUGAUAAUUGUUUUGUUAUAUGUAAUUUUACUAUGUUAAAGUUAAAAACCUUUGUUUUUGAAAAAAAAGAAAAGGGGAAGUACUGUGGGAUGUUCUAUAUGCUGUGAAAAUGUGUUGCUUUGAUUGAUAAAUAAAACGCUGAUUGGCCAGUAGCCAGGCAGGAAGUAUACUAUAGGUGGGACAAGCAGAGAGGAGAAGUCUAGGAAGUGUUAGGUUGAGUCAGGAGACGCGGCCAGUCACCUCAAGGAGAAAGAAGAUGUAAGGAUACUGGUAAGCCAUGUGCCACAUGGCAAGGUACAGACUUAUAGAAAUGGGUUAAUUAAAGAUAGAGGAAAUAGAUAACAACAAGCCUACCAUGGCCAUACAGUUUAUAAGUAAUAUAAGCAUCUGAGUGGUUAUUUUAUAAAUGGGCUGCGGAACUGCGGGGGCUUGGCGGGACCUGGAGAGAAACUCUCCAGCUACACUGAAGAUUCUUUCAGAGAACCCAGAUUCCAUUUCCACUACAUAUAGGAGCUCACUACUAUCUGAAAUUGCAGUUCCAAGGGUUCUGAAACCAUCUCCUGGCCUCCCUGGUCACUAAGCAUGAAUGGAUUACAAAGACAUGCAUGCAAGAAAAACACCAUGAACAUAAAAUAAUGACUGGAAUUAGAUUUGUAAAAAACAAAUAAAAUAAAAAAGCAACAACAACAAAAAACAUAAAAGACAACUUGCACCAUAAAACUUAAUUUUCAAAGUAUAUGUGGUAGUGUAUUCUUACAAUAUCAACACUCCAGACACAAAGGCAGGAAGAUCAUUGUGAGUUUUAAAGCAUGUGCUACAUAAUCAAUGCCCGAACACACAUGCUUGUGCUCAUUGGAAAAAAAGAACAAAACUAAAUAACAUACAAAAAUGGAGCAUUGGAAAAUUGUGACAACACAAUACCUCUUAAAGUCAUUUCAUGUGUCUGCCACUUGUACUCAUACAAUAAAUAUUGUCAAGCAUGGUAGCAAAUGCCAUUAUACCCAGCUAUAGGAAGGAAAAGGCAGGUAGAUAACAAUUUGACAAUAUGCUCUUUGAUAUAGUCACUUCCAAAGUAAUGCCCAUCUUAAAAAGACCUAAUUUUGAUUUGUUCUCCUGGUUUAAGACAGGGCCUUAUUUAUAAUCCCACAUGACCUUGAUUCAAAAUAUACCACACUACAUAAUACAUAUUAUGUCUUUAAUAAAUACUAAUAUAUACUUAAUUCUUAAAUGUGUCUCUCCCUCAUAAGACCACACUUUCCCAACAUCCUUUAUUUCUACUAACAUUUAUACGAAAUUCACAAUAAACAUGUAUUUUUUUUUUUAGUCAGGCGUGGUGGCAAUGGUACAUACCAUUACUCCAAGAUUUGAGAGGCAGUUGUAGCUCUGUAAACUCCAGGCCUAGAUUACGUAAUUCAUAGUGAAUUCUAGGCCAGACAGGUUUAGAAAAUGAGACUGUGUCCCAAUCCAAAAGUCUUAACUUAAUAAAGUUCUAGGGUGAGAAGAUGGGUUAGCAGAUAAAGUCCUCACCUUGGAAGUAAGAACCUGAGUUAUCCCUUUACAUCUGCAUUAGAAAGCCAGUUGCAAUGGUGUGUGCUUAUAAUUCAAUGCUUUUAAGGCAAGAUAGGAGACAGAGAGGAGAAAGCCUGCAAGGAUAUGGGUAUAUGAUAUAAAUCUAGAGAAUGUCUCAAACAUGAUGAAGGGAAAGGACCAACAACCAAGGUAGUUCUCUGAUUUUUACACCCAUACUACAACACCCAUGCAUACCUUCCCAUACAUAAAUGAGCACAAACAUACAGUCAUAAGUAAAUUAUUAAUAAAAUACAAGUGGAUGAAGUGGCACACUCUUUUUAUUCUAAUAUUUGGGAAGCAGAGGUAGGAAGAUUUCUAUGAGUUUGAGGCCAGCCUCAUCUACAUUUUGAGUUCCUGGAAAGCCAAAGAUACAUAGACAGACCCUAUCUCAAAAUAAAUAAAAUUCCAACUGUGAUUUGUAUUGACUCAUGCUGAUUAUACCUGCCUGCGAAAAAGCAUAUUUGAGAAAACCCUCCUAGAAGUGGAAAGGAAUCCCUUUUGAUACUAAAAAAUUGAGUUUUCUCUCAACAGUGUUGAGGAAGUGGCAGAACACUGGUGGUGAAUCUAGCCUCAAGCAGAGUACACAUGACUCAAUGGAAAGUGUGCCUGUGCAAGCCAUAGAACGGAGAGGGGACAUGAGAGUUGAGGCUAAUCCUUUGUUCUUUUUCCAUGGUAAAUCUUAGACUAUACUGAGGAAGAGUUUCUUCAUGAUGACUGCAUUAUUCUUUUUCAGUUCCCCCUGUGGUACAGGUCAUAGUAAAAUAUUAUAAGAACUCAGCUGGUUAUAGCAAAGCCACUACCUGAAGGGAUCAAGGAAUUCCUUCAGAAGAAGUUAAAUUCCAAGGAGCUUUUGGUGUUAUUUGGCUUGUUAUAUAUCAGCUGUCUUCUGUUAUGAAAAUCAUGUGUGCCUUCAUAGUUUUCCCAAAUGAUUUUUCCCUAAGAAGUGCUAACAGUGUGGACUGAUCACUCUCUGGACAUAUACAUUCAAGGUAUUUGGAGAAUAGCUUCAGGAAAGGCUUCCUUCCCCCCAGUCCAUCCAUUUCUCUCCUUUCAGCACUGGAAUCAGUUAUCUCCCUUAGCCACUUUCAAGGAGUAACAGAAAUAACAAGUCCAGACCACCACAUGCUAGUCUCCUCAUUUAAGGUAGAUUCCACAAGGAGACACUGCCUAGGCCAGGUGAACCUUAAAUAAUAGCUUUACACAAUUUAGCUCGGACCCUCCUUCCUUAUAGCCUUACUAACUUUAUAGACCCCUAACUUCUUACCUAACCAUUUUUCAGGACGUACACUGAGCACAUAGAUCCCCUUUUUGAUAUACUAACCAGUCAUUAACACUUAGUUGACCUCUUUUACCACUCCCAUUUUGGAUUGUAAAAGAAAGCCUGGUGGUCACUGCCUGAGGGAAAUUCUGACCUAUCUUUAUGACCCCAUAGAAUUCAAGCCUUAUGACCUUCUUCUACCAGGGGAUUGCUGUUGCUUUGGGAGAAAUAUGGAGAACUUAGAGAUGGAGAAUGGAGAGAGAGAAGGAGGAUUUUGAUUAAAGAGAAUGUGUGGAUGAGAUAGAUGGAAGAUGAGGAAGAGUCAGAUGGGGAAGUACUAGCUGGGUAAGAACAAGAUGAAAAGGACCUAGAUGAGGCAGAAUCAAGACAAAAGAAUUAAGAUAGAACUUAGAGGAAGCAGUAGAUAAAUAUAGAGAGAAAUCAGGCAAGAAAGGAGCUAGGCACAAGAACAGAACUGAAGCUGUGUAAAUAGGAUGAUGUUAUCUCAGAGGAAUUAAAGCAAAUAGGCUCAGUGUGCUGAGAUUCUACUUCCCCAAAAUAGUCCUCGCCGUUCAUAAUUUUUUCUCCUAAGGCCCUGGGACGUAUAAUAUUAAGGCUGGUCUCUGAUAUAUUAUACAAGACCCAUGAACAAAUCUGACUUCUGAGAUUGGAGGUGAGUCAGAGAGUAAAUUUUUUGGGGAAAUGACACCAUGGGUCCUGAGACAGGUACUGACACAGCAGGGCUUUUUAGAGCUCAGCAGCCAGAGAAGCAGGGCAAAGGUUUUUUUCUGGUCUUUGUUUUUGGUCAUCCCAGUGAACUGUCACCUUUCUCUGAGUUGGCUCUAAUGCAGACAAGGCAUGGGCCUCUGUAGAUGCACAAGAAACUGUUUGAGACUCGGUGUGAUCUAAGUUUGUCAGUUAGAAUAUUUGAUUUCUUUGUCUAUCCUCAUAUCCUGAGGAUGGAGAAUAGGCUAGUUUUGCCUUACUCACCUGUGGGUCCUGAGCACAGUGUGUGACUGGUUUGUAAUGUUUUCAAUUAGUAGGUUACCCAGACCUCUCAUGUGGAUAAUGGUGGAUGUAGCUAGCAGUUGACAGAUAACCAUGUUUCUAGAAGUCAGCUGAAGUGGCUAAUGAUUGCAGAGUGAUAAUUGCCACCUCCUCUUUGCCCUUUCCUGCUUAAGCCCCACUUAGUUUUGAAUAUAUCCUGACAGCUUUUCUCAAGUGCCUCAAUCGACUUAUUUUUGUUUGUAAAAUUGACUUAUUUUAUAGGGCUUGUACAUAGAUUGGUAGUAGAGUAAUUGCCUUGCAUUUAUAAGGUCUUUGGUUUUUAUGGUAAUAUUUUAUUUGUACUGAAAUGUGAUUUUAUUUGUAUGUUAAUAAAUAAAGUUGCCUGGGGGUCAGAACUAAUAGCAAGCCGUAGCAGAAUUCUGGCAGUGGUAGCACCCGCUCUUAAUCCUGAUCACAUGACAGGCAGAUCUCUGUGUGUUCAAGGAUACCACCAGCAUGGAGACACACACCUUUAAUCUCAAUACCAACCAUAGAAGAUCUGGAGGUCUGUAUAGAUGGGCAGUGAUGAGGAGGUUAUGUGGUUGGGUUUACAACCAAUGAGAAGGCAGAACAAAAAGUCUAUAAGAAGACAGACACACAGAAAGUAGUUCUCUGGCUGAGGAGGACAGCAGCAGCAGUGAAGGGUAAGGUUUUUAGCUCUUAGUUAUUGCUCUGACCUCUUGGGCUUUUUAACUCUGAAAUCAGCUCUGUGUUUCUCAUUUUAAAAGACGGUUACAUCUACAGGUUUUAUCUUAAGGCCAAAAAAUAAAAGACAGGAAUAAAUGAAGAAUCCAAAUACAUCUGGGGUGUAGCACACAAGCAACAAACUUUUCAGCCCUCUUGCCAUCUGGUCUCCAGACAUUCCUGAACUUUCUCCAUAGACUCUAUUGCCAUAGUUGAGUGUUAAUUUCCAGUGAGAUUAAUGGUCAUGCUUUUAGUGAAGAGGCUGCUAUUUCUGAAUAAAGCACUGCUGUGAGAUGUCUUUCUCUACACUAUGAAUAUCUGUUGCUCUGAUUGGUUGAUAAAUAAAGCUGCAUUGGCCUAUGGCAAGGCAGCUUAGAGCCAGGUGAAAAUCCAAGCAGAUAGAGAAGGGAGAGGCAGAGAGACGCCAGCCUGCUGUCCAAGGAACAACAUGCCAGCAGACCAGUAAGCCAUGGAACACAUGGUAAAAUAUAGAUUAAUAGAAAUGGGUUAAUUUAAGAUGUAAGAGCUAGCAAGAAGCUUGAGCCAUAGGCCAUGGCUAUGCAAUUUGUAAUUGAUAUAAGCCUCUCUGUGUGUUUACUUGGUUCUGAGCAGGCAGCUGCCUCUGUCAUUUCCAGAAUUUUGGAAGUUGCUUACAAUGCAUUUCCUGUUUACUUAGGUGAUAUUAUAUCCUUAUGAGGUCUUUGAUGUAGUUGAAGACUAGAUAGUUAUAAUUUUUUUUGGUUAUGAUAAAAGAUAAAUUAGAUAUAAAAACUUCAACUCACAAAUAUAGAAUAGCAUAUUUUUUUUAAUUUUGCCAAGUACAAAUUGACUAGAUAUUGUAACUGUAAUUAUUGCUUGAUAACUGUUCUAUUUUAUCUAAUUUUACUAUGUUAAAGUUAAAACCUUCCAUUUUGAUUAGACAGAAAGGGGGAAGUGCUGUGGGAUGUCUUACUAUACACUGGGAAUAUGUGUUGCUCUGAUUGGUUGAUAAAUAAAGCUGUAUUGGCCUAUGGCAAGGCAGCUUAGAGGUAGGAUAAAAUCCGCAGAUAGACAGGAAGAGAAUGGAGAGGCAGAGAGAAGCCAUUCUGCCACCCAGGGAGCAGCAUGUAAUGGCACAAAGGUAAAGCCUUGGAAUGUGUGCCAACAUGUAGAUUAAUAGAAAUGGAAUGAGUUUAGUUAUAAGAGCUAGCUAGCAAGAAGCUUGAGCCAUAGGCCAUGGCCAUAAGUUUGUAAAUAAUAUUAAGCCUCUGAGUGAUUAUUUCAUAAGCAGCUGGGGGCCACAGGUGGGAGAGAUUUGUCUUGACCCCAGGGCUGGGCAGGACCAGAGAAAACUUGAGCUGGAAAGCACAGAUAUUAAACAUAAAUAUAUAAUAUAUCAAAAUUUUGUGGAUCUGGAGAAAUAGCUCAGAAGUUAAGAGUGAUCACUGGUCUUCCAAGGAGACACAGGUUCUGCUAAAUAACCCAGGUAUGGUUAGCUCACAACCUCUUAUACUCCAGUUCCAGGGGAUCCAACUUCAUCUUCUGGUUUUCAAGUGUACCCCUACACAGAUGACAUUCACUCACACAGGGAACAACAGAGCUGGGGGGAGGAGGCAAGAAUAAAAAUAAUUUUGUGGUAGUUUCAAGUUGAACUGUUUCCUUCAUGUGUUUGUUUUUUUCCCCCUUGGGUUUCUUUAGUUUCUUUAAGAGUUUUCUUGAUUUCCUCCUUUUUUUUUUGUCUUUUUUCCCAUUCUUUUAAAUAAAUUUUUCAUUUCUUUUAGGGUAUCUAUCAUCUUCAUAAUGUUGUUUUUAGGACCUCUUCCAGCUCAUCUUCUUUGAGCUGUUCAGGUCUUGCUGUUUAUGAAUCACUAGGUUCUAGUGUACCUUAUUGAUCUUUAUGUUGUUUAAUAUGUUUUUACACUGCUGUCUACCCAUUUCUUCCUUUAAUCUGUACAGGUGCAACUCCAGGUAACUCUUCCAAUUGGUGCAGGAGGGGCAUAUGGCUCCAGUGGCCUCUGGUGCUACCCAGGAUGGUUGCUGAGGGGGUUGGUGGGAAGGGGGAUGCUGCCCAGUCCCUGGGGCUGCACUGGCUGGGGGAUGGGUCAUGGAAUGUGCCACCAGGGUCUAGGUGCUAGAUAACUGGGCCUUGUAGUCCAGCAAUUGGGGUCUUACCUCUUCCCCAAUCAGUGAAUGGAAGUGGGUCACAUGUCUCCAAUGAAAUGUGGUUCCAUAGGGGUAGGGGGAAGAGGCUGCUGCCCUUUCUCUGGGGCUAUACUGGCUAGGGCUUAGGGCUAGAGAACUGUGCUUACCAGUCCAGAGAUUGGGCUUUACCUGUUCCUAAUUGAUGCAGGGGGGCAUAUGACUCCAGUGAUCAUUGGUGCUGCUAGGGAUGGGUGAGAGAAGGGCUGCCGGUAUAGGCUGUAUAGGCUUAGAUGCUGCAGAAAGCAUUUCCUCUCUCUUUCCAUCCCUUUCCUUCACUUUACAUCUAUUCUUGUGCCUCUCCCUGACAGCAGAGGCAGAGGAAAUAACAGUCAUGGAUGGAAACAAGGCAAAAGAUAAGUUGGUGUUACAUUGUUUCUGGUAGUGUUUAUUGUGGGCCUCAGUAGAGGAUGACUUUAGGCCAGCAAUUAUAGUCAACAAAAUGGGCAUAACAAACAAUUAGAGGGUUACUCCUGAGGCCACUUCCCUUUUUCUGGCCAGGAACAGAAUUUUUAUCCACAGAUCAGGUUUCCACAUGUUCUCUGAAAAGAUCUAUGGAACAAGCACUACCAACUACUCAUCCAGCUCUCCAGGCAUCACAACCCACAAGCACAUGCAUGCAUUCACAAACAUAUACAUACAUAUAUACAACUAAAAAUUCUCAGAUGGUGGCUGUUGUUUCCUGAGGGACCAGCCCUUAUAUUGAAACACUAGGCAAGCCUGAACAAAAGUAUAUGUCACCCUACCGUGCAGACAGACUCACAACAAGACAAACAGAAAGAAGAAAGUGGGGGUCCCAGCAUUUACCUGCUGAAGGGACCGAAUUUACACAACGUAGAGGGGCCUAUUCACCGAAAUAUACCGCUCAAGGGGGCUUCUCAACCAGCGCCACACAUGAGUAAAGGGAGACAAACAGACCAAAUGUCCCGAGUUUUGGCACCGGAUGUAGCAGGGUCCUUUGCUGUUGUUCCCUUUAGGGGUGGGGGCCAAGUAGGCGCAGAAUCAAACCACACAGACUCUGGGAGAAUGUCAAAAUAACAAGCUCAGUUUAUUCAGGAAGAGGCAAGCCUUAUAUACCCUCCACCCCACUCUGGGGGGAGGUCUGAUGAAUAUACAUCAGCUGGUGUGACAUGGCUGCCUCUCAUUGGUCCAGCUCAUCUCCAGAUCAUGUUUCAGCUGCUGUUGCUAAGACUAUCAGGCAGUUUUUUUGGCUCUGGUUUCAGGGCCAAAGUGUGUGUAUUUCACUGGCUCUAUUUUCAGGGUAUGUUUCUCUGGCUGGACAAUUUACCCUACACAUAGGGCUUCACAUAGUUAUAAAAUCACUUUUUCAUGAGAUUGCUGGUGCACACAAUGUAAAGAUGGCGAUCAAUCUGUUAUUGUUGACACUGUCGAAUUUUUUUUCUAUAGAAUACUCUCAGGAAACUGAUUAUAAUUGUGUUGUCUAAUGAACUUACCAAAUACUUUAUAUUAAGAAGUUCUUUCUCGCCACGCCAACCAACCCCAAUGACACCAUGGACCUCCUAAGUCAUAUGCUCCCCUGUACCGAUGAGGAACAGGUAAGGCUCAAUCUCCAGACUGGUCAGCACAGUUCUCUAGCCCCUCCCCCUACCGGGGCAGCCCAAAAGAAAGAACAGCAGCCUCCUUCCCCACCAACCAUCCCCAUUGGCAGCCGUGUCCACAAGAGCCAUAGGACCCCCUUCCAUGUACCAGUUGGGGAAGAGGUAAGACCCAGAUUGUUGGACUGGACAGCUUAGUUCUCUAGCCUUUAGGACCCAUGGGUACAUUCCUUGCCCCACCCAAGUCAGUGCAUUCCCAGAGACCUGGUAGCAGCCCUUUUCCCCCACCCCAUUACCAAGGAUCCCCUGGGGCACCAGUGACCACCAGAGCCAUAUGCCCCUCCUGCACUAAUUGGGAAGAAGAGCAACCACAGGAGCCACAGCCCCCCCCCCCCCCCGCACCAAUUGGAAGAAGAGUGACCUGGAGUACCACCUGUAUGGGUCAAAGGAAGAAAUGGAUAGACAGCAGUGUAAGAACACGAUAAAAAGGUAAAGAGCAAUACGCUACCACCAGAACCUAGUGAUCCUUCAACAGCAAGACCUGAACCUCCCAAAGCAGAUGAUCCAGAAAUAAGAGACCUUAAAAACAAGUUUAUGUAGAUGAUAGAGGCCUUGAAAGAAGAAAUAAAAAUUUUCUUAAAAGAAUAGAGGAAAAGACAAACAAAAAUUUGGAGGAAAACAAGAACUCUCUUAAAGAAACUCAAGAAACUGAAGAAAAAACAAUCAACAUGUGAAGGAAACAGUUCAAGACUUCAAAUUGAAAUAGAGGCAAUAAACAAAAACUGAAGGAAUUGUGGAAAACAAAAAUCUGAGUAAACAAACAGAAACUACAGAUGCAAGCUUAAUCGAGAGAAUAUGAGAAAUGGAAAAAAAAAGUCGGGCGGUGGUGGCGCACGCCUUUAAUCCCAGCACUUGGGAGGCAGAGCCAGGCGGAUCUCUGUGAGUUCCAGGCCAGCCUGGGCUACCAAGUGAGUUCCAGGAAAGGCACAAAGCUACACAGAGAAACCCUGUCUCAAAAAACCAAAAAAAAAAAAAAAAAAAAAAAAAAUAA
Peromyscus californicus insignis is the source of this 18262-nucleotide long non-coding RNA. RefSeq lists it as uncharacterized. The transcript has 3 exons. Lineage: Eukaryota; Metazoa; Chordata; Mammalia; Rodentia; Cricetidae. The record is from RefSeq and is a predicted model, not a curated record.